Molecule: ribosomal RNA, 352 nt
Filed under: uncultured fungus
Lineage: Eukaryota; Fungi
Description: eukaryotic LSU rRNA
Rfam family: 5.8S ribosomal RNA (bases 58-211)
Source: RNAcentral
ACCCUUCAAAACGCUUUGUAAUACCUGUAACUGUCUGAUAUAACAAGCAAAAAUCAAAACUUUCAACAACGGAUCUCUUGGUUCUGGCAUCGAUGAAGAACGCAGCGAAAUGCGAUAAGUAGUGUGAAUUGCAGAAUUCAGUGAAUCAUCGAAUCUUUGAACGCACAUUGCGCCCUUUGGUAUUCCUUAGGGCAUGCCUGUUCGAGCGUCAUUUGAACCUUCAAGCUCAGCUUGGUGAUGGGUGACUGUCCUCCCCUCGCGGGGGGACUCGCCUCAAAAACAUUGGCGGCCGGUACAUUGGCUUCGAGCGCAGCAGAAACGCGGUCUCGAGUCCGAUGGACUGGCUCCCAUA